CAACAAGAAUAGACCAGCAGCGGGGGGGAGUUAGGGAGGGCCCAGGGAACAAAAUGACAAAACAGAGCUUUCCCACAUUUUCUACAUCGUGGCACACCAAUACAUCAUCGUCACCAGCGGAAGUGGGAGGCUCUUCAUAGAUUGAAAAGGGAAACUUCUUCCUGUGAGCAGUCCGUUCAUUUCUCUCCCAGACACAAGGCUGAAAUUUUAGUAUUACAGGUAUCACUGGGGAAUAUUUCUCAGCUGCAGGAAUUUAAUCAGAUGCUCUCUCUCAGUUACUCAUGUUGGAAUUAGUGACCAGCUUAAACCCCAACGGCUUUUUCACAUUAACUGAUGUCAAGCCAGGGGGUCUUCUAGGAUGCCAGCCAAAUGGACAACGCCAGAGUGAAGACCCAGGAGAUGAAAUCGGAUCAAGUGGGAAGAGUAGCAUAAGGAAUCUAAAGUGGAACAAGGAUUCUUUUGUGCAGUGCACAAACUACACAACCGUGCCAGUGGCCUUGCCAAGCAGUUUUGAUAGCAGCUGGAACCUGAGGUGCAGAAGUGGGCAAAAGCUUUUUCCAAGUACCAGGAUGCCUAAUAUUAAACUUUUAG
Molecule: long non-coding RNA, 591 nt
Filed under: Equus caballus (horse)
Lineage: Eukaryota; Metazoa; Chordata; Mammalia; Perissodactyla; Equidae
Description: lncRNA (ENSECAG00000027838.3)
Source: RNAcentral